AGUGUUUGAUCUCGCCCACUCAAGUGUUUUUCUCAGAAUUUGGAUAGUCACACAAACAAGUUUCCACUCAAGGUUCUAAGAAGAACAGAUCAAAGAAUCCCAAUGGACAAUUUCCAAGCAAACAUAAGAGAAUUUCUUAAGAGAGAAAGAUAAGAGAUUUUGGUUUGGGAAUCCGUUUUAACCACCUCAAAGGGUAGAUUUCUCCUCAGCCAGCAGCCUUUCUCUUCCACCACCAAUCCACAAAUCAAACUUUUGAUUUCUUUUUUUGUUUUUCUCUUCUUUUUUUUUUUUUUAUAGAUCUUUUCUCUUUUUUUAUAUAUAUGGUGGAUGGUAAUGAGGGGCCCGGAUUCAAGAAAGGUAGAAGAAGAAGUGUUUAUGAAGAAUUGGAAGAUGAGAAGAUGGAAUGAUUCAGAAGAUACCAGAAGAGUAGCUAUGAUACCACUUGAAAGACCCUAGGAACGGAUCACUCUACUGGUUCUGUUUGGAUAUGAACUCUGGAUGGAGAACUGAAUGGAUUGAAGGGUCACAUGAAGGCUGCGGAAGGCCUCCGAUAUUCCCGACUCCAAAUGGUGUUUGAUAUGACUCACAAGACCACCAAGUGAAGGAUCUCUCG
This 613-nucleotide long non-coding RNA is filed under the name Brassica napus (rape). Its description in RNAcentral is "long non-coding RNA (BNAP_LNC013757)". The record is from RNAcentral. Lineage: Eukaryota; Viridiplantae; Streptophyta; Magnoliopsida; Brassicales; Brassicaceae.